CCUACGGGAGGCAGCAGUAAGGAAUAUUGGUCAAUGGACGCAAGUCUGAACCAGCCAUGCCGCGUGGAGGAUGAAGGUCCUCUGGAUUGUAAACUUCUUUUAUUUGGGAAGAAACCCACGAUUUCUAUUGUGGUUGACGGUACCAGAUGAAUAAGCACCGGCUAACUCCGUGCCAGCAGCCGCGGUAAUACGGAGGGUGCAAGCGUUAUCCGGAUUCACUGGGUUUAAAGGGUGCGUAGGCGGGCAGGUAAGUCAGUGGUGAAAUCUCCGAGCUUAACUUGGAAACUGCCGUUGAUACUAUCUGUCUUGAAUGCUGUGGAGGUAAGCGGAAUAUGUCAUGUAGCGGUGAAAUGCUUAGAUAUGACAUAGAACACCUAUUGCGAAGGCAGCUUGCUACACAGAAAUUGACGCUGAGGCACGAAAGCGUGGGGAUCAAACAGGAUUAGAUACCCUGGUAGUCCACGCCCUAAACGAUGGAUACUCGACAUCAGCGAUACACAGUUGGUGUCUGAGAGAAGANAUAAUAUCCACCGCGGAGUACGACCGACGAGUAGUAACGUACAAUAGAAGUUAGUACGGACGUUGAGACGAGCCGACGGACGACGACGACGGGGAGGGUAGGGAG
RNAcentral lists this ribosomal RNA (625 nucleotides) under uncultured bacterium. Its description in RNAcentral is "bacterial SSU rRNA". The stretch from base 1 to 532 matches the Rfam family "Bacterial small subunit ribosomal RNA", at positions 338 to 873 of the family's 1533-position model. The record is from RNAcentral.